RNAcentral lists this ribosomal RNA (915 nucleotides) under uncultured archaeon. Its description in RNAcentral is "bacterial SSU rRNA". It matches the Rfam family "Archaeal small subunit ribosomal RNA", at positions 29 to 922 of the family's 1478-position model. The record is from RNAcentral.
UCUUCGGGGGGUGGGAUAAAAUGCUAGUCGAGCGCCUCCAGCUACGGUGAAGGCGCGGCAAACGGCUCAGUAACACGUGGCCAACCUACCCUUAGGACGGAGACAACCCCGGGAAACUGGGGACAAUCCCCGAUAGGUGAGGACGCCUGGAAUGACCCCUCACCCAAAAGACGUCUAGACCAUGCUUCCAGACGUCGCCUAAGGAUGGAGCCGCGGCCGAUCAGGCUGUUGGCGAGGCAAAGGCUCACCAAACCUAUAACCGGUACGGGCCACGAGAGUGGGAGCCCGGAGAUGGGCACUGAGACAAGGGCCCAGGCCCUACGGGGCGCAGCAGUUGCGAAAACUCUGCAAUGCACGAAAGUGUGACAGGGCUACCCCGAGUGCCGUCCGCUGAGGAUGGCUUUUCUCUGCUGUAAGGAGGCGGAGGAAUAAGGAGAGGGCAAGUCUGGUGUCAGCCGCCGCGGUAAUACCAGCUCUCCGAGUGGUGGGGACGUUUAUUGGGCUUAAAGCGUCCGUAGCUGGCCUUUCAAGUCUCUCGUUAAAUCCAGCGAUUCAAUCGUUGGACUGCGGGAGAUACUGUUUGGCUAGGGGGCGGGAGAAGCCGACGGUAUUUUCGGGGUAGGGGUAAAAUCCUAUAAUCCCGGGAAGACCACCAGUGGCGUAGGCGGUCGGCUAGCACGCGCUCGACGGUGAGGGACGAAAGCUGGGGGAGCGAACCGGAUUAGAUACCCGGGUAGUCCCAGCUGUAAACGAUGCGGGCUAGGUGUUGGAGCGGCUACGAGCCGCUUCAGUGCCGCAGGGAAGCCAUUAAGCUCGCCGCCUGGGGAGUACGGCCGCAAGGCUGAAACUUAAAGGAAUUGGCGGGGGAGCACCACAAGGGGUGAAGCUUGCGGUUUAAUUGGAGUCAACGCCGGA